Molecule: transfer RNA, 72 nt
Filed under: Lepidion lepidion (Mediterranean codling)
Lineage: Eukaryota; Metazoa; Chordata; Actinopteri; Gadiformes; Moridae
Description: tRNA-Val
Rfam family: tRNA
About the family: Transfer RNA (tRNA) molecules are approximately 80 nucleotides in length. Their secondary structure includes four short double-helical elements and three loops (D, anti-codon, and T loops).
Source: RNAcentral
CAGGACAUAGCUAAGUUAAUAAAGCAUUUCACUUACACCGAAAAGACGUCUGUGUAAAUCAGACUGCCCUGA